GUGGGUAUAGGAAAGUUUGGUAAUCCGCUUGCUUUGGGAGCAAGAGACCGCAGGUUCGAAUCCUGUUGCCCGCAC
Molecule: transfer RNA, 75 nt
Filed under: Streptomyces phage Blueeyedbeauty
Lineage: Duplodnaviria; Heunggongvirae; Uroviricota; Caudoviricetes; Stanwilliamsviridae
Also listed under: 1 other name
Description: tRNA-Pro
Rfam family: tRNA
About the family: Transfer RNA (tRNA) molecules are approximately 80 nucleotides in length.
Source: RNAcentral